CUCAAAUGAGUGCUUCUCCCCUGGAAAACCUUUAUAUUUGUUAGGCUGGAGACUCAAAACAUGUCCUUAAAGUUCCAGUGUCUUGUGUCACAGAAAUGCAGUUCUCUUUUGGUAUCAUAACUGAACCAGGCUCCUUGUUUCUAUACUCAACAGUUUCCUUUUUUGGCUGGUUAGAGAGAGAAGGAGGAGGCGCCAGCCCAGAGAGCAUCUGUAAUAGAGUAAAAUUAUUUAUUUGAUAGUCACAUCUUCAAUUGAGAAGCAUUACAAGGACAAGAAGAAUUCGGUAAUCCUAUGUUAUUAGAUGGAUAUAUCCAGAUAUGACAACUGAAACCAAAUGACUUUAAACUACUCUUGCCAACACCCACAUGGAGGUGUGUGUUAUUCUUACCUACUUCUUGCUCUAUGCAAAUCCCUACAUUACCAGCAGCAGGCAGCAUAAAAUGAAAACCAGGGGCCAGAAUCUAGAGAAACAAGGAUAGUAUGGAAGCCUUCCUUGGGAAAGACCUCAAAAGUAGUAGAUAAGUGUUGUAAUUCUAGCACUCUGGGAGGCUGAGGCAGGAAGAGCUACAGUUUGAGUCCAGCCCUGGGAACUUAGUGACUUAAUGUGUUCAGCCCCC
This 617-nucleotide long non-coding RNA is filed under the name Fukomys damarensis (Damara mole-rat). RNAcentral describes it as "lncRNA (ENSFDAG00000032938.1)". Lineage: Eukaryota; Metazoa; Chordata; Mammalia; Rodentia; Bathyergidae. The record is from RNAcentral.